Chiloscyllium plagiosum (whitespotted bambooshark) is the source of this 128-nucleotide non-coding RNA. NCBI's taxonomy places the organism in Eukaryota, Metazoa, Chordata, Chondrichthyes, Orectolobiformes, Hemiscylliidae. The record is from RefSeq and is a predicted model, not a curated record.
GAGUACACAGACAGUAUGUUCCUGUUAAGGUCAAGGCUGGGAGGCGUCGAGAAUGCUGCGUGACCUGCGAAUUUGAGGCUCUGGUCAAGAAAAUGAAGGAAGGAUAUGGCAGGGUGCUGGAUGGUCAG